GAGUUUGAUCCUGGCUCAGGACGAACGCCGGCGGCGUGCUUAACACAUGCAAGUCGAACGGAGCACCUUCGAAAGAGACUUCGGUCAAUGGAAAAGAAUGCUUAGUGGCGGACGGGUGAGUAACGCGUGAGGAACCUGCCUUUCAGUGGGGGACAACAGUUGGAAACGACUGCUAAUACCGCAUAACGUACGGGUGUCGCAUGGCAUCUGUACCAAAGAUUUAUCGCUGAGAGAUGGCCUCGCGUCUGAUUAGCUAGUUGGUAGGGUAACGGCCUACCAAGGCGACGAUCAGUAGCCGGACUGAGAGGUUGGCCGGCCACAUUGGGACUGAGAUACGGCCCAGACUCCUACGGGAGGCAGCAGUGGGGAAUAUUGGGCAAUGGGCGAAAGCCUGACCCAGCAACGCCGCGUGAAGGAAGAAGGCUUUCGGGUUGUAAACUUCUUUUGACAGGGAAGAGCAGAAGACGGUACCUGUCGAAUAAGCCACGGCUAACUACGUGCCAGCAGCCGCGGUAAUACGUAGGUGGCAAGCGUUGUCCGGAUUUACUGGGUGUAAAGGGCGUGUAGCCGGGCUGACAAGUCAGAUGUGAAAUCCGGGGGCUCAACCCCCGAACUGCAUUUGAAACUGU
RNAcentral lists this ribosomal RNA (629 nucleotides) under uncultured bacterium. Its description in RNAcentral is "bacterial SSU rRNA". It matches the Rfam family "Bacterial small subunit ribosomal RNA", at positions 9 to 636 of the family's 1533-position model. The record is from RNAcentral.